Molecule: long non-coding RNA, 1913 nt
Filed under: Ficedula albicollis (Collared flycatcher)
Lineage: Eukaryota; Metazoa; Chordata; Aves; Passeriformes; Muscicapidae
Description: lncRNA (ENSFALG00000000065.2)
Source: RNAcentral
GGGGGGGGGGGGGGGGGGGGGGGGGGGGGGGGGGGGGGGGGGGGGGGGGGGGGGGGGGGGGGGGGGGGGGGGGGGGGGGCGCUCUUCCGAUCUCCAGGAGCAGGAAAUGCGGCAGCUGAACUCGCACCAAGCGCGAGGUGUUCCGGCAGAUGGAACAGCGGCGCGAGCAGCAGGCGCUGAAGGCCGAGAAGAAAUUCCAGGAGGGACAAAAAUUCCUGGAGCAGCUGGAGCAGAUGAAGAGGGAGGAUCGGCAGGCCUGGCAGCAGCAGCAGCAGCGCAAGCGGCAGAUCCUGGCCGAGAUGCGGGCGGUGGACGCGGAGAACCAGCGGCUGCGACAGCGCGACAGGGACCGCGACAGGCGCGCCGAGCUGCAGGCGCUGGAGGAGCAGCGCCUCAAGGGGGUGGGGACAGCGCUGCCAGGGGGCCUGUCACCUCCCCUGGGCUGUGUCACCUCCCCGGGGUUGUCACCUCCACCGGGGUUCUGUCACCCCUAGGACUGUCACCUCCUCGGGGUUGUCACCUCCCCAGGGCUCUGUCCCCAUGUCCCCAUGUCCCCAUGUCCCUGUCCCCGGGGGGGGGGGGGGGGGGGGGGGGGGGGGGGGGGGGGGGGGCACUUCCUCUGUCACCUGUGUCACCUCUGUGUCACCUGUGUCACCUCUGUGUCACUUCUGUCACCGCCGUCCUUGUCCCCUGUCCCCAUGUCCCCCGUCCCCUGUCCCUGUCUCCUGUCCCUGCCCCCUGUCCCUUGUCCCCUGUCUCUGUCCCCUGUCCCCACGUCCCUGCCCCCUGUCCCCAUGUCCCCCUGUCCCUGUCCCCUGUCCCUGUCCCCUGUCCCCACAUCCCUGUUGCUGUCCCCAUGUCCUUGUCCCCUGUCCCCAUGUCCCCCGUCCCCUGUCCCUGUCCCCUGUCUCUGUCCCCUGUCCCCACGUCCCUGUCCCCAUGUCCCUGUCCCCAUGUCCCUGCCCCCUGUCCCCAUGUCCCCCUGUCCCUGCCCCCUGUCCCCUGUCCCUGUCCCUGUCCCUGUCCCCACGUGGCUGUCGCUGUCCCCAGGAGCGGGAGGCGGCGCUGGAGGCGGAGCGGGCGCAGCUGCGCCGGGAGCGGGCUGUCACCUCCCCCGGGGCUCUGUCACCUCCCCUGGGGCUCUGUCCCCCCUGCAGGGGAUGUCCUGGAGCGGUGGCAGCAGGGACAAGGCCACAGCUGGGCGCUUCCAGAGCUGUCCCCAGGGCGGCCUGGCGCUGUCCCCAGGGUUCUCUGUCAGUGUCCCCAAUGUCCCCUGUCCCUGUCAGUGUCCCCAGGGUCCCCAAUGUCCCCUGUCACUGUCAGUGUCCCCAAUGUCCCCAAUGUCCCCAGUGUCCCCUGUCCCUGUCAGUGUCCCCAGUGUCCCCAAUGUCCCCAAUGUCCCCUGUCACUGUAAGUGUUCCCGACGUCCCCAGUGUCCCCAGUGUCCCCUGUCACUGUAAGUGUUCCCAAUGUCCCCAGGGUCCUCAGUGUCCCCAGGGUGCCCAGGGUCCCCAAUGUCCCCUGUCACUGUAUGUGUCCCCAAUGUCCCCAGUGUCCCCAGGGUCCCCAAUGUCCCCAUUGUCCCCAGUGUCCCCAGUGUCCCCUGUCCCUGUCAGUGUCCCCAAUGUCCCCAGUGUCCCCUGUCACUGUAAGUAUUCCUAAUGUCCCCAGUGUCCCCAAUGUCGCCAGUGUCCCCUGUCACUGUCACUGUCCCCACUAUCCCCAGUGUUCCCAGUGUCCCCAGUGUCCCCAGUGUCCCCAGUGUCCCCUGUCAGUGUCCCCUGUCAGUGUCCCCAAUGUCCCGCAGGACGCGCUGCAAGCCAGGCGGCUGCAGGAGGCGGGGGGGGGGGGGGGGGGGGGGGGGGGGGGGGGGGGGGGGGGGGGGGGGGGGGGGGGGGGGGGGGGGGGGGGGG